This 1090-nucleotide long non-coding RNA is filed under the name Anas platyrhynchos platyrhynchos (common mallard). RNAcentral's name for it is "lncRNA (ENSAPLG00000030680.1)". The record is from RNAcentral. Lineage: Eukaryota; Metazoa; Chordata; Aves; Anseriformes; Anatidae.
UGACUCAUUCGUUUCAAAUGAAAAUUGAAAUGCUUUUGACUUCUUCUUUUUCUUCUUUUUUUUUUUUUUUCAUCCUUCCAGUGGCAAAUUUGCUUUACUUAACGCUAAGUGGGGAUCAUUUCUUGUGAUUACUGAAAAAUGCAUCAUAACUUUUGAUUACGCUGCUAUUAAGGAUGCAGAAUGGCAAUUGCUGCUGCUCGCAGAGAGCGAGAGAGAGGAAACGCUGCUGGAAAAGCUGGUGUAACCCUUUGCUAUGCUGAGUGCAGUGGAGAAGAUGUCACCGCUGUAGGUCUGGGGCCACCGGCUGAUGGGGCAGGACCUAGGGGUUAAAUUCAGGCUGCCUGCAAGCAAGCAUGAGUGCUGCUGAUCCCAGAGGGCUGAGGGCCACGGUGUCUGCAUGGUGCACGCAGAUGGUUGUCAGUGCUCGUUCAGAGGUUCCCCAGCCUCACCCGGCAUGGCCCUGCAAGGGGAUGCUGCUGGACUCAUCCUGCCACGUGGGACUGGCUCCUCACAGCCCAGCAGAGCAGCUCCUUGGUGAGAACUAGCAGAAUGCAGUAAUUAAUCUGAGACAAAAAAAGAAGGCCACUUAAUAGGCCCUACCUCGACGUGUCUCAUUUGUUUUCUGUGGGGCUGGGCAGUGACACCCAAGUGAAACGGAUGGGGAAAUGCAGCAGGUAAGGGAUGGUGUUAGAGCUGGGUGAAUCGUGGUGCUGUGGGAAUCAUGGGUCAGGUCUGUGUCUCAGCUGUGCGUAUGAGGAGCACCAGACAGCAGGAUUUUCUAGGACGAACUGAAGUGAUGCAAGGUAAUGUCCUUGUUUUGAGCUCUCUCCAUCAGGAGGUGCAGCUUACCUGAGCAAGGUGGUUACAGUGGCUCCCCUGUAUCUUGCAGGUGAACAUGUUUUUUUUUUUAUAGCCUGUCUUGGUUUGCUUGCCACACAAAGGCACUGUUUAAUUGCUAAGGUUGCACGUUCUCCUCGGUGGAGCUGUGGGAUUUGCCCUCUGGCUUAUUUGUCCAACAGGAGGCAGAGUUUUAGCACAGAACUACUGGUGGGAGGCUGGGAUUUCUGAAAGUGUGCUUUCUGCCUUGGCU